CAGUGGGGAAUAUUGCACAAUGGGCGCAAGCCUGAUGCAGCCAUGCCGCGUGUAUUGAAGAAGGCCUUCGGGUUGUAAAGUACUUUCAGCAGUGAGGAAGGUGGGUAUGUUAAUAGCAUACUCAUUUGACGUUAGCUGCAGAAGAAGCACCGGCUAACUCCGUGCCAGCAGCCGCGGUAAUACGGAGGGUGCGAGCGUUAAUCGGAAUUACUGGGCGUAAAGCGCAUGCAGGUGGUUUGUUAAGUCAGAUGUGAAAGCCCGGGGCUCAACCUCGGAAUUGCAUUUGAAACUGGCAAACUAGAGUACUGUAGAGGGGGUAGAAUUUCAGGUGUAGCGGUGAAAUGCGUAGAGAUCUGAAGGAAUACCGGUGGCGAAGGCGGCCCCCUGGACAGAUACUGACACUCAGAUGCGAAAGCGUGGGGAGCAAACAGGAUUAGAUACCCUGGUAG
This 449-nucleotide ribosomal RNA is filed under the name uncultured bacterium. RNAcentral describes it as "bacterial SSU rRNA". It matches the Rfam family "Bacterial small subunit ribosomal RNA", at positions 352 to 793 of the family's 1533-position model. The record is from RNAcentral.